AACGAACGCUGGCUGCAGGCCUAACACAUGCAAGUCGAACGAGACCUUCGGGUCUAGUUGCUUACGGGUGCGUAACGCGUGGGAAUCUGCCCUUGGGUUCGGAAUAACAGUUGGAAACGACUGCUAAUACCGGAUGAUGACGUAAGACCAAAGAUUUAUCGCCCAGGGAUGAGCCCGCGUAGGAUUAGCUAGUUGGUGGGGUAAAGGCCUACCAGGGCGACGUUACUUAGCUGGUCUGAGAGGAUGAUCAGCCACACUGGGACUGAGACACGCCCCAGACUCCUACGGGAGGCAGCAGUGGGGAAUAUUGGACAAUGGGCGAAAGCGUGAUACAGCAAUGCCGCGUGAGUGAUGAAGGCCUUAGGGUUGUAAAGCUCUUUUACCCGGGAUGAUAAUGACAGUACCGGGAGAAUAAGCCCCGGCUAACUCCGUG
RNAcentral lists this ribosomal RNA (433 nucleotides) under uncultured bacterium. RNAcentral describes it as "partial 16S ribosomal RNA". It matches the Rfam family "Bacterial small subunit ribosomal RNA", at positions 29 to 507 of the family's 1533-position model. The record is from RNAcentral.